Molecule: long non-coding RNA, 235 nt
Filed under: Lathyrus oleraceus (garden pea)
Lineage: Eukaryota; Viridiplantae; Streptophyta; Magnoliopsida; Fabales; Fabaceae
Description: Pisum sativum (pea) long non-coding RNA (PSAT_LNC030650)
Source: RNAcentral
AUUUUAAGUCAUAAAAAUAAAAUCAAUAAAAAAAGUGUGUUAAAAUGGACCAUUUAGAAUAAAUAAUUAAAAUAAAAUAUUAAUAUUAAACAAAAACGAAAAUAAAAAUUAUAUAAAAUUAAAUAAAACGUUAAGAAAAGUGAAAAAUAUUUUUGGGUAAUUUUAUGGACGAAGAAAUUAUUUUAAAUAAGAAAAAGAAAUAUGAAAAUGGAAGGAUUAAUGGUGAUGAACAUGG